UACGUAGGUGGCGAGCGUUAUCCGGAAUUACUGGGUGUAAAGGGUGUGUAGGCGGGAUGGCAAGUCAGGCGUGAAAUGAGAAGGCUCAACCUUCUAACUGCGCUUGAAACUGUCAUUCUUGAGAGUGGGAGAGGUAAACGGAAUUCCUGGUGUAGUAGUGAAAUGCGUAGAUAUCAGGAGGAACACCGGUGGCGAAGGCGGUUUACUGGACCACAACUGACGCUGAGGCUCGAAGGCGUGGGGAGCAAAC
RNAcentral lists this ribosomal RNA (250 nucleotides) under uncultured prokaryote. RNAcentral's name for it is "partial 16S ribosomal RNA". It matches the Rfam family "Bacterial small subunit ribosomal RNA", at positions 524 to 773 of the family's 1533-position model. The record is from RNAcentral.